AACGAACGCUGGCGGCAUGCCUAACACAUGCAAGUCGAACGAGACCUUCGGGUCUAGUGGCGCACGGGUGCGUAACGCGUGGGAAUCUGCCCUUGGGUUCGGAAUAACAGUUGGAAACGACUGCUAAUACCGGCUGAUGACGUACGUCCAAAGAUUUAUCGCCCAGGGAUGAGCCCGCGUAGGAUUAGCUAGUUGGUGGGGUAAAGGCCUACCAAGGCGACGAUCCUUAGCUGGUCUGAGAGGAUGAUCAGCCACACUGGGACUGAGACACGGCCCAGACUCCUACGGGAGGCAGCAGUGGGGAAUAUUGGACAAUGGGCGAAAGCCUGAUCCAGCAAUGCCGCGUGAGUGAUGAAGGCCUUAGGGUUGUAAAGCUCUUUUACCCGGGAUGAUAAUGACAGUACCGGGAGAAUAAGCCCCGGCUAACUCCGUG
This 433-nucleotide ribosomal RNA is filed under the name uncultured bacterium. Its description in RNAcentral is "partial 16S ribosomal RNA". It matches the Rfam family "Bacterial small subunit ribosomal RNA", at positions 29 to 507 of the family's 1533-position model. The record is from RNAcentral.